Quercus robur (English oak) is the source of this 1538-nucleotide RNA transcript. It is a transcript of the gene named calreticulin-3-like, with no coding region annotated. The transcript has 16 exons. The record is from RefSeq and is a predicted model, not a curated record. NCBI's taxonomy places the organism in Eukaryota, Viridiplantae, Streptophyta, Magnoliopsida, Fagales, Fagaceae.
UUGAUCUUGUUCAAGCUUUCGGGACAGAAGGUAUGAAUACAAAGGACUUCACAAGGUUUGGAAAGGGAAGUUGUCAGAAGCCAAGGCUAGUGGAAAUUCUAUAAAAAUCCAGGAAGCACAAGGAUAUGGUAGUGCUUUAUGAUUCAUUACAACUUGCCCAUAAGUGUAUACUGAAUUCCUUCUAUGGUUACGUCAUGCGCAACUGAGUUUGGGGUGCAAGAUGGUACUCAAUGGAAAUGGCUGGAGUAGUUACGUAUAGAGGAGCAAAAAUAAUUCAGAAUGCUCGCGUAUUGGUUGAAAAAAUUGGAAAACCACUUGAAUUAGAUAGAGAUGGUAUCUGGUGUGUGCUCCCUGGAUCUUUUCCGGGGAACUUUACUUUCAAAACCAACCAAAUUUAAAUGCAUCAUCCAAGGUUUUCUUAAGUGAGCGUGCUGUUCCUGUUGCAAUAUUUGAAACUGAUGCUGAAAUAAUGGUUUCUUUUUGUGCGGAGAUGGUGCAAGUAAUACUCAGAUGUGGGCAUUCGAUCCAUUAUUGACUGGUCUUAUUACAAGCAAAGGCUUAGUUCAGCAAUUCAGAAAGUUAUUACCAUUCCUGCAGCAAUGCUUCAGGUUGCGAAUCCCGUCCCUAGAGGGUAGUACAUCCUGAUUGGCUGCAUAAGAAGGUUCGUGAGAAGGAGGACAAGUUUCGAGAACGCAAAUUACUUGAUAUCUUCAGCUCGUUGAACAGGGAUGAAUUUUUGAAAAAGAAUAGUGAUGCUGCUGGCGCCAAUGGUGUGAUGAAUGAAGAAAUUGUUAAAGACUUGGAGGACUUUGGAAACAACAGCAGAAAAUCUCCUGCAGACUGGGAGGAUAGGGAAUAUAUUGAUGAUCCUAGUGAGGUUAAACCUGAGGGAUAUGAUUCAAUUCCAAAAGAAAUUCCAGACCCAAAAGCUAAAGAGCCUCAUAACUGGGAUGAUGAAGAGAAUGGUGCGUGGAAACCCCCAAAGGUACCUAAUCCAGCGUAUAAAGGACCAUGGAAGCCCAAGAAAAUUAAGAACCCCAAUUAUAAAGGAAAAUGGAAGACUCCUUGGAUUGAUAAUCCAGAGUUUGAAGAUGACCCUGAUGUUUAUGGGCUUAAGCCAAUUAAGUAUGUAGGAAUUGAGGUUUGGCAGGUAAAGGGUGGGUCAGUUUACGACAAUGUUUUGAUCUGUGAUGACCCAGAUUAUGCAACACAAGUUGUGGAAGAAGUAUUUGCAAACAGGGAGAUUGAAAAAGAGGCCUUUGAGGAAGCAGAGAAAGUGAGAAAAGCACGAGAGGAAGAGGAAGCUCAAAGAGCAAGACAAGAAGGUGAAAGGAGGAGAAGAGAGCGGGGUUAUGAUCGACGGUAGAGGGAUAGAUAUAAGGACAGAUACAGAAGGGACCGUCGUGAUUACAUGGAUGAUUACCAUAAAUUUCUACUGAACAAACGUGAAAUGGAGUUGUUGAAGUUAGAAAACAAGGUUAGGUUUAUCCUUGCAGUUGUGAAGGGAGAGAUCAUUGUAAGUAAUAGGAAGAGAGCUG